CACUCGGCGCCGAGCGUGGGGAAGAGAUUGGAGCCGCGCGCCGCGAUCCGCACCGACCCGAGCGCGCGCGCGCGUACCCGCGCAGGAUUCACGCACGCGACCCCCCCCCCACCAUCAAUCUCACGUGUACAGGUACAGUCCCACAUCAUGUACCCAAAGAGAAGCUGUAGGCGGCACUGGCAAUAAUGGAGGCAGCAAACAUCAUAUAAUCUGCAAAAUCCAGUUUUACAAGUUACAAGUCAAAACAGCGCAUAACGUAUCGGUCCAUGGAACCUAUAAAGUAUGGCAUGAAAUACAAACUCUGCAUAAUGUCUGUAUAAUGUUUCAUGAGUGUCACACAAAAAUGUGCACGUACAUUCAAGACCCACAUUUACAUCAAAUAGGGUGGCUUUUGACAUGAAAUUGUUCUUCAUGUACCAUUCUUGCCAUUCCUGUACGAACAUGGCAUGAAAAACAAUGUUCAUUAUACUUUCAACGUGGAUUCAUGCCAAAUGAAAUGUUGUAACCAAAACAAA
Long non-coding RNA from Silurus meridionalis, 515 nucleotides. RefSeq lists it as uncharacterized. The transcript is spliced from 2 exons. The record is from RefSeq and is a predicted model, not a curated record. Lineage: Eukaryota; Metazoa; Chordata; Actinopteri; Siluriformes; Siluridae.